CUUUUGGUGUUUGCAGUAAACGUAAUAGAAUGAAUUGCUGUCUGUACAGUCCUGUGCCAUGACAUCUAAAACGAAGGAAAUGGUAAAGCAGAGUGAGAACUCAAAGACUUCCACCGAGAGCUUUUGUCAACUUUAACUCAUUGUGCGCUUUUAGAGCUCAGUUUGGAUGUUUCAGAAGAACUCUCUGAGAGGCCCAUAAUUCUGCUUCUCCCGAUACUUGUAUAUUCGGCUGCUGCCACCGCGAUUGCCUGUUGAGCCGAGACAUUACACGUAAAUGAAUCAUUUUCAAAUUCCGGGAAACCCUAUUACAGGGCAUCUCUCUGCCAUCAAUGUAAUUACCUUUGUACACAGUACCCAAUGAAGAGAUAUCUGGAUAAAGGGAUGAGCAAGAGAAAAUGCCCUGCUGCAAAAUGAAGUUGUUGUAUGAGAGAAACAGCAAGAUGCAUAUUUGCAUCAAUAAAGAAGAAAGGCUAGAAACUACCCAACCAACUUUUGGUCGGAUUUUUCUGGAAGUAAUUUUUCCUAUCUUCUUAAGGUUUACAUGACUUAUGUCUUAAGUUAAUGUAAGCACUAACUUGAAGUCUUGUUUUCAAGAUUAUGCAUUAAAUAUGAACAUUUUAAAGUCUGGAUUUGCUGUGGGAGAGAAUGAGUCAAAUAAUAGCUUGACUAUAUUAUUAUAUAUAAAAAUAAUACACGAUAAAAAAUUUCAAUUAGCAAACUUAUUGAGCAUGUUUUCCUUCUUUUUCAGCCUUCAGACUAAGAACAAAACAAAUAUUACCUACCCUGAAUCUGUGCUGAAACCACAAAGGAGAGCAUCCUUGGAUCCCUCCAAGUAAUAAAAAUACCCUUUAAGAAGAAUUUGAACAAGAUUAACAUUACAGAUUGUAAACUUCAAGAAUAAUAAAGCAGUGGACUAUAGAAGAGCAAGUGUGGAAGCUGGGAGACCAGUUAAAUGACGAUGGUGAGAGAUGACAUGGCUAACCUCAGACAAUAACUGUGGAUAUGGAGAAAAGAGGAUGGAAGCAGAGUGGACAGGAAUUGCUGAUGGAGGGCACGGACCAUGUGACCCAUGCAGAACAUGCAGACUCUCAACAGGGUAAAGAUUGUGUCUUCUUUGUCUGCUUGGAGAAAAACCAAACACUUCUUCAGGUGCUACCUAUGACUGGCUUGCUGAAUGCAUCGUUUAAAAAGAUAUUUACCUUGACAACUUGAUUUAGUUGAGGACUGCCAAAUUUCUCCACUAUCAAGUUACUAGCUUUCUCUUCGUUGUUAAUAAGUAAGUAUCUUGGGGGAAGAUAACUUGAGACAUGUAAAACCAGUUUCUCCUGGAACUUUUGCCCAUGAAUUUUAGCAUCCAUAAGUGGAUCUUAUCUGCAAUAGUUGUUACUGUGGUGUUUGCUUACUGGUGACCCUCUAUAUCUCAGAAGCCAUUGUUAACAUAAGCAAUGUGGCUUUAGUAAUAUCAUUGACUCAUAUCAUCUUUAUCUGUUUCCAAGGAAACGGAGCUAAGAAGUCAACUGAAGGAGAACAGGAAACAGAAUAAUUGUUAACCUUUUGUCCACAGGCAUUUGAGGCUUUAUAGAGUACAGAGCAGAUUAUGAUACACAAAUGCAAGUAUAGGAGAAAGGGAGAAAUGGAGAGGAAUGAAAAGUUUCUAAUCUGGAACCCAGGGGACAGUGGAGAGAGAUGCAUCCAAUGUAUUUUUUCUGAUGGAAAAAAAUUGUAUUUCUAUAGUUUUUCUCUUUAUAGGAAUCAGUAACAAUCCUUGAAGUGAAGCAGGGGUUAGAAGGUAGGUGUGUGACUAGCACUGGCUACAGAAAUGUGAGAAGUGUUGCCUGGAACUUCCUUGCAGACACCUGAAAAGGGAGAAGGUGAGUCUUCCCUUCUUUCUGUUGCCUUAAAUUUGGAUAUUAGCACUCCAGCAAUCACCUUGGACCACGAAGUGACCUUCGGGCUGGAAGCCAGAAGCAACGGAUCAGGAAGACAGAAGAAUCUGGGUACUCAAUGACUUUGUGUAACAACUGUUCCAGUCCUAGAUGUCUACCCUGGGCUUCUAUUAAAUAAAAACAUAAAACCUGGGAGUUUAAGCUUCUGUGUUCAGGCUUCAGUUAUUAGCUGCUGAAUUUAAUGCCAAGCAACACUACAGUAAAAUUGAAUAAAUAUCUAUUUUAAUUGAUUGAUAUUAAUUUGAUUCAUACUAAAUUGUUAACUGUGAAUAAAGUUAUUCUUAGUAACAUCAUAUACAACAUUGAGACACAUUUUACAUCCUUCUUGUUCAUUUAUAUUUAUCAAAUUUUAUUUUAUUUUUCACAAUUAUUCCUAAUUUUAAAAAAUUAUCUUACUAUGUGCCUGACAUGUUACUGCACAGGUUGGUUUUCUCAGAAAGCAGUCUUUAUGAAAUGCAAAGGCUAUAAAAACAAUUCCCAAACUGGACAAUUUCAGUAUCAUAAUUAAUAUUAUUUUUCCAAAGAGAAAAAUAAAGCACAGUGCAACUAUGUCUUAAGUGGCAUUCAUGAGGAAGGUCAAAGCACAACAAAAUACCAGUUUUACUUGUAAGAGAAUUCCAUAGAUUAUACCCAUGAAUCCAGGGGUAGUAUUUUAAUAAUACUCAAACAAUUAUACUGUAUAUAGAUGUUCUAAGCGGUUUGUACACAAAUGGCUACAUUAAAACAAAUAAUUCUUCCCACUUGAAGUCUUCUAACCCCAAUACUACUUAAAUCUAUUUUAUAGCCUAGAAAUGAAAAAAAAUUCAAAUAAAUUAAGAAGACUACUUUAAUUACUAUCUAUUGAGGCUCAGUAAUUAUUAGUCAUAUUGAUUUAAUAUGCAAAUCUUAGAUAGCAAUUAUCAGACUCAUCUUCUGAAAGGAACAGGGUGCAAAAGCUAACAUUGAAAUUUAGCCAUUCAGUGACUUUUAGGAUGCAUCAAAUACUUAAAAACAUACAUUUUUAAAGCAGAAUUUUAUUUAGUGCCUUAAACUCAUUUCUGCUUUUCCAUGACUAAAUUUAAGGUAGAUAAUAAAAUAAACCUGUAUUAUAUCCAUUCCAGGCAUGAACAAUCUUAGUUUAUGUUGGCUUUAAUUUGGGGGUUAUUAUCUUGAGGCAUGGCAUUUUUAAGGGUGUGACAACCAAAAGUCUGUAAUGGGAACAAAUGUGAUUUAUUGUUUUCAUUUGGAAACUAACCUUAUAUACAGAGUGGUAAAUCUGGUUAAGAUUCUACAGAAGUUCUUUUCACAACAUUUUGAUCGUGACCCACAAUGCAAAUUAUUAAAUAUAUUUUACUCUGUGGCUGAGUACAUAUUUAUACAUAUCUGAAAAUAAAGUUUCACAAACAAUACUUUUCUUACCCUAAGUAUUGCUCCCUGAUGUUCUCUAUUCUAGUCUACCCAUUACAUUUGUUUGCAUGUAUGAUUAGAGCUAUACACCAAAACACACUAAUCCUAUUUAAAAACACUGCUCUAGAAUGAUUGGAGCUUAGAGGAAAUCUAAAUCAAACCUUUCAGUUCACAGAUAAAGAAACUGAAGUGUCAUCUAGAGGGUUAGAUACUUUGCCCAAGAUAACAGAGGUGUGUAUAGCAGAGCCAGAUUAGAAUUAAGGUCCGUUGGCUCCCUAGCCCAGUAUAGGAAAAAAGAUAACAACAUUAGGAAAGGGAUGUCUGUGUUUUUAAAAGUUCAAAAUGCAGAAGUGUAUGGCUUAGCAUAUGUACCUGUCACAAAGGUCUUGGCAUCUGAAUCACUGAAGUUUUUUUAUUGAUGACUCAUUUGGCUUUAUUUAGCAGACUUGACUUUAGAAAUUCAAUCAGGAGUAGUUUAUGUGGUAAACUGUCCUUGUAAUUAAAUAAAACAAUCCCUAGAAACUUAAUUGAAGAAUGCCUGCCCAUCAGGAACACCUAGAAGCCACGCUUUGUUGGUCUGUUUAAGCCAAAUUUCUGGCACACUGCUCUUUGAAAAUCAAAUUUAAAAUGACAGGCAAGUUGCUCUUAACUUCCUUAAAGGCAUGAACAAGUAAUUGCAAACCCUCUGAUAUAUAACAUGUCACAGAAAAGGCUCAUUUUAUCAAUAGCAACAUAAUCUGGGAAUUUCUAAAUUUUUAAUUUAGAUUUUACUCUAAUUAAAGGUAUGCAAAAAUAGGUGAGGGGAAGGGAAAUUAAACAAAUGCCUUGGAAAGGAAAUGCAUUUUGUUAGAAUUUUGUUAAAAUGUAAUGAGUCUAUAUGUCCUUAUAUUUUUUAUAGGGACCUGACCCUGUCUAUGUAUAAUGCAUUUUAUGAAGGUAAAUGAGAAGGUUCUUAAAUCCAUUAUCUUUUAUCCCAAUAUAUGAUAUCAAGCCGUUAUAUUUAAAUAAACAAAUUCAUUAAAAACAAAAAAGUUGUUUAUUGCAUCUAACCACUGCCUGUUCAAAAAGAAUGUUAAUUAUAUGCAAAUUUACCACUUCAAGAAGAGAAUUCAUGUAGUAUAAAAUCACCUUUAGGUAAAUAAUAUUUUUAAAUUAAAUCACCUCUAUGUAAUAAAAUGGUAGAAAAUAAAAUAAUUGAAAGCUUUAGUGCAGAAUAUGGCAUUUCUUCUGAAUUACUCUUUGGAAUUUAAGUGUAGUGUCUCGAGAGGCAGAAUAUUACAGUUGGGAAAUCACACAUCCAACAUUGGCUUUAUCACUGUUGCGUGAACUUGAGCAAGUGAUUUAACUUGCUCUGAGAUACUCAGGAACUAUGCAUCCCAUUUCACUGGUGAGGAAGUUACCUGACUAGCUUGUUAGAAAGAGGGUGUGAGUUAGGCAUGACAAGAACCUGGUAGGUUUAUUCUGCAGCAUUACAGCUUAAGAAAAAGAAGAAGAAAGCAAAUGGGAAACCAGUCUCCCUAAUGAAAAUAAGUAGAGAUAAAACCCCAACUAAUACAACUUGGGCAAGAAUAUAUUCUAAGAAAUUUUAUAAUUUAUAAUUAUUUAAGACAUAAUUUAUAAUGUAUAUUGAUUGUAUUUGACAUGAGCUUUCUUCCAAGAUAUGCAAUUUUAAUAUUGAUAUAUAUUAUUCGAAGGUCAAAUACAUAUGCAUUUUUACCAAAUAUUGUUUUCACAUUGAUUCAACCACUACUUUCACUGUUUUACUUUCCCUCUUUCAACUAUUACUGACUCUUGGUUUUCUCAUUUUCGUUUUAGUCAGGCUUCUAAUCUUUUAGAUUUGGUUCUCUAAUCACACAACCAGGUUUAUUCCUUGAGGUACAAAUGUAUACCAAGAAUAUGGUAGCUCUGUAUUUGUUUCAUAUUUUAUUUUUAUAACUGCAUUUAUUUGUAUUAUU
Microcebus murinus (gray mouse lemur) is the source of this 5287-nucleotide non-coding RNA. Lineage: Eukaryota; Metazoa; Chordata; Mammalia; Primates; Cheirogaleidae. The record is from RefSeq and is a predicted model, not a curated record.